UUGAACGCUGGCGGCAGGCCUAACACAUGCAAGUCGAACGGUAGCACAGAGAGCUUGCUCUCGGGUGACGAGUGGCGGACGGGUGAGUAAUGUCUGGGAAACUGCCCGAUGGAGGGGGAUAACUACUGGAAACGGUAGCUAAUACCGCAUAACGUCUUCGGACCAAAGUGGGGGACCUUCGGGCCUCACACCAUCGGAUGUGCCCAGAUGGGAUUAGCUAGUAGGUGGGGUAACGGCUCACCUAGGCGACGAUCCCUAGCUGGUCUGAGAGGAUGACCAGCCACACUGGAACUGAGACACGGUCCAGACUCCUACGGGAGGCAGCAGUGGGGAAUAUUGCACAAUGGGCGCAAGCCUGAUGCAGCCAUGCCGCGUGUAUGAAGAAGGCCUUCGGGUUGUAAAGUACUUUCAGCGGGGAGGAAGGGUCACUGGUUAAUAACCAGCGGCAUUGACGUUACCCGCAGAAGAAGCACCGGCUAACUCCGUGCCAGCCGCCGCCGUAAAC
RNAcentral lists this ribosomal RNA (505 nucleotides) under uncultured bacterium. Its description in RNAcentral is "bacterial SSU rRNA". It matches the Rfam family "Bacterial small subunit ribosomal RNA", at positions 30 to 525 of the family's 1533-position model. The record is from RNAcentral.